Molecule: ribosomal RNA, 598 nt
Filed under: Thalassiella azotivora
Lineage: Bacteria; Bacillati; Actinomycetota; Actinomycetes; Kineosporiales; Kineosporiaceae
Description: bacterial SSU rRNA
Rfam family: Bacterial small subunit ribosomal RNA
Source: RNAcentral
UGGCGGAUCAGUGGCGAACGGGUGAGUAACACGUGAGCAACCUGCCCCCGACUCUGGGAUAACUCCGGGAAACCGGUGCUAAUACCGGAUAUGACACUGCCUGGCAUCUGGUGGUGUGGAAAGAUUUAUCGGUCGGGGAUGGGCUCGCGGCCUAUCAGCUUGUUGGUGGGGUAACGGCCUACCAAGGCGACGACGGGUAGCCGGCCUGAGAGGGCGACCGGCCACACUGGGACUGAGACACGGCCCAGACUCCUACGGGAGGCAGCAGUGGGGAAUAUUGCACAAUGGGCGAAAGCCUGAUGCAGCGACGCCGCGUGAGGGAUGAAGGCCUUCGGGUUGUAAACCUCUUUCAGCAGGGAAGAAGCGCAAGUGACGGUACCUGCAGAAGAAGCGCCGGCUAACUACGUGCCAGCAGCCGCGGUAAUACGUAGGGCGCAAGCGUUGUCCGGAUUUAUUGGGCGUAAAGAGCUCGUAGGCGGUCUGUCGCGUCUGCUGUGAAAACCUGGGGCUUAACCCCGGGCCUGCAGUGGGUACGGGCAGACUAGAGUGCGGUAGGGGAGACUGGAAUUCCUGGUGUAGCGGUGAAAUGCGCAGAUAU